Scleropages formosus (Asian bonytongue) is the source of this 1638-nucleotide long non-coding RNA. RefSeq lists it as uncharacterized. NCBI's taxonomy places the organism in Eukaryota, Metazoa, Chordata, Actinopteri, Osteoglossiformes, Osteoglossidae. The transcript is spliced from 3 exons. The record is from RefSeq and is a predicted model, not a curated record.
GGGAAAGUCUCAAAAGCCUUAGUAAAUGCCGGUGAGCAUGUACUGCAGGACUAACUGAGGAUAACAGAGAGCCGAAGCUCUGUAUAUGCCUAGUUCCACCAGUUAUAUAGUACACACAGCGAUUCACUGAAACAAACUCCAGCCAGCAGAACAUUAUAAGCAGCUUACAGUGUACUCUCCUGUUGUAUUUUUUUAGAGGUACUGGCCCCCUUUCAGGUGGGUGCAGAAUGAAAGCACUCUCAGGUGAAUUUUCCACACCCAGAGUUUAAAGGUCAGACACAAGGUAAUGUAACUCAGAACACUGGCGCCACAGCAGUACACAGAUUAAAUGGAGGGGAUGCUGAUGGGAGAGGGCAGGAGUGGGGGGUAGCUGGAUCUUCAUUUCCUGCUGCCCGGCCAGAUGAACACCACAGAUAUCCAUCGGCACCUCCAACCUGAGACACAUGGCUCCCGCUUACCCUAACCUACACCCACAGGUGACACAAUGAUGUUCUUUGAGUCAGUGAGUCUUACAUGGGAUGGUGGGUUUGGGGGGUGUCUGUGUCCGGCAACGGAAACAGUUCUUAUUGGCUUCUUCUGACUCAAAUUUUAGGCAUAUCUGUGUUGAAUGCUGGAAUGGAAGAAUGCUGACAUCAAUCUUGCAGCACUGCCCCGAUGACCCAUUACCCACCAUGACGGCUGGUCACCCCACUGAAAGGAACUUCGUUAGCAAGCGUGUCCAUGCAGUACUCUGUUGUGACCUGGCCUUGAGGACUUGCCACAAAAACAACAUCUGACUAUACAGUGGAGACACAGCAUGCUUGCUCAACUUGUAUAUGCAUAACAAGAGCAAACUGAAGGGUGAAGAUUGGGAGUUGGACUUUGGGGAGCUUUUCAAGAGCUCAUAUCAAUCACCAGCCUGCAGGAACCUCCACCUCCUCCCCUCUCCCAUCUAGUGCUGCUGAUAGUACUCUUCUGUCAUCUUGCUCCUCUUCCCCCCUCGUAUACCUAGCACAUUUCUUAGCUACAGUUAGACUCACUUCCCUUUUAAUCCAUUUGUGUCCAUGGGAGCUGAAUAGAGGGGUCACUGUGCUCCUUAAGGAAGAGCUCUCCCUUAUGUCAACACUUUUGGCACUCCCCCUCAUUUAUCUGUUUCCCUCUCUCCCUCCUUGUAUAUCUCUCUCUAUCUCUUCAGUGCUAGGCAAACCGGUCCUGCAAGGGGUCAUGUGGUUACCAUAACAAAGAUGGACAGACCUCCUCUGGCUCCCUGGCCCACUGAUAAGGACUGGAACCGUCCAUCUUCGGUUUCUGUGUGUUUGCUUUUCCUGUGCCAGGGUUUUGUGCUCUCCAGCAGCCUUCAAAGCUUUUCUUUCUGCUGUUCUUCUAUCCCUUGGAUUGAAUGGAAAGAACAAAAAAUGUUAUUGCUACAGAAGACAGGAUCUCAUUCCAGGCUCAUGGCAUCUGGAUAGAGUAUAUCUUCAUCCACUAUUAUUAUUGUUACUUUAUUUGUUAUUCAGCAUGGCUCUUUCCACAGCAGCUUACGUUGUGUAUCUCAAAAUUACUGUCAUUUAUUAUGAAACUUUGAAAAUGUGCAGAUGUGUAAAAGUUUCUUUCAAAAAAAGAAAAAACCUCCCCAGAGGAUCCACUGACACACGAACC